This 468-nucleotide ribosomal RNA is filed under the name uncultured bacterium. Its description in RNAcentral is "partial 16S ribosomal RNA". It matches the Rfam family "Bacterial small subunit ribosomal RNA", at positions 28 to 507 of the family's 1533-position model. The record is from RNAcentral.
GACGAACGCUGGCGGCGUGCUUAACACAUGCAAGUCGAACGGAAAGGCCCUGCUUUUGUGGGGUGCUCGAGUGGCGAACGGGUGAGUAACACGUGAGUAACCUGCCCCUGACUUUGGGAUAACUUCAGGAAACUGGGGCUAAUACCGGAUAGGAGCUCCUGCUGCAUGGUGGGGGUUGGAAAGUUUCGGCGGUUGGGGAUGGACUCGCGGCUUAUCAGCUUGUUGGUGGGGUAGUGGCUUACCAAGGCUUUGACGGGUAGCCGGGCUGAGAGGGUGACCGGACACGUUGGGACUGAGAUGCGGCCCAGACUCCAACGGGAGGCAGCGGAGGGGAAGGGUGCACAGUGGGCGGAAGCCUGGUGCAGCAACGCCGCGUGGGGGAUGACGGGCAUCGGGUAGUAAACCAAUUUCGCCUUUGACGAGGCGUGAGUGACGGUAAUGGGUAAAUAAGCACCGGCUAACUACGUG